UACGGAGGAUGCGAGCGUUAUCCGGAUUUAUUGGGUUUAAAGGGUGCGCAGGCGGAGGUGCAAGUCAGCGGUCAAAUUGCGGGGCUCAACCCCGUACUGCCGUUGAAACUGCAUCCCUUGAGUGCGCGAGAAGUAUGCGGAAUGCGUGGUGUAGCGGUGAAAUGCAUAGAUAUCGCGCAGAACCCCGAUUGCGAAGGCAGCCUGCCGGCCCCACACUGACGCUGAGGCACGAAAGCGUGGGUAUCGAACAGG
Molecule: ribosomal RNA, 252 nt
Filed under: uncultured Bacteroidales bacterium
Lineage: Bacteria; Pseudomonadati; Bacteroidota; Bacteroidia; Bacteroidales
Description: partial 16S ribosomal RNA
Rfam family: Bacterial small subunit ribosomal RNA
Source: RNAcentral